Molecule: ribosomal RNA, 1343 nt
Filed under: uncultured bacterium
Lineage: Bacteria
Description: 16S ribosomal RNA
Rfam family: Bacterial small subunit ribosomal RNA
Source: RNAcentral
GACGAACGCUGGCGGCGUGCUUAACACAUGCAAGUCGAACGGAAAGGCCCUGCUUUUGUGGGGUGCUCGAGUGGCGAACGGGUGAGUAACACGUGAGUAACCUGCCCUUGACUUUGGGAUAACUUCAGGAAACUGGGGCUAAUACCGGAUAGGAGCUCCUGCUGCAUGGUGGGGGUUGGAAAGUUUCGGCGGUUGGGGAUGGACUCGCGGCUUAUCAGCUUGUUGGUGGGGUAGUGGCUUACCAAGGCUUUGACGGGUAGCCGGCCUGAGAGGGUGACCGGCCACAUUGGGACUGAGAUACGGCCCAGACUCCUACGGGAGGCAGCAGUGGGGAAUAUUGCACAAUGGGCGGAAGCCUGAUGUAGCAACGCCGCGUGCGGGAUGACGGCCUUCGGGUUGUAAACCGCUUUCGCCUGUGACGAGGCGUGAGUGACGGUAAUGGGUAAAGAAGCACCGGCUAACUACGUGCCAGCAGCCGCGGUGAUACGUAGGGUGCGAGCGUUGUCCGGAUUUAUUGGGCGUAAAGGGCUCGUAGGUGGUUGAUCGCGUCGGAAGUGUAAUCUUGGGGCUUAACCCUGAGCGUGCUUUCGAUACGGGUUGACUUGAGGAAGGUAGGGGAGAAUGGAAUUCCUGGUGGAGCGGUGGAAUGCGCAGAUAUCAGGAGGAACACCAGUGGCGAAGGCGGUUCUCUGGGCCUUUCCUGACGCUGAGGAGCGAAAGCGUGGGGAGCGAACAGGCUUAGAUACCCUGGUAGUCCACGCUGUAAACGGUGGGUACUAGGUGUGGGGUCCAUUCCACGGGUUCCGUGCCGUAGCUAACGCUUUAAGUACCCCGCCUGGGGAGUACGGCCGCAAGGCUAAAACUCAAAGGAAUUGACGGGGCCCCGCACAAGCGGUGGAGCAUGCGGAUUAAUUCGAUGCAACGCGUAGAACCUUACCUGGGUUUGACAUGGAUCGGGAGCGCUCAGAGAUGGGUGUGCCUCUUUUGGGGUCGGUUCACAGGUGGUGCAUGGCUGUCGUCAGCUCGUGUCGUGAGAUGUUGGGUUAAGUCCCGCAACGAGCGCAACCCUUGUUCACUGUUGCCAGCACGUUAUGGUGGGGACUCAGUGGAGACCGCCGGGGUCAACCCGGAGGAAGGUGGGGAUGACGUCAAGUCAUCAUGCCCCUUAUGUCCAGGGCUUCACGCAUGCUACAAUGGCUGGUACAGAGAGUGGCGAGCCUGUGAGGGUGAGCGAAUCUCGGAAAGCCGGUCUCAGUUCGGAUUGGGGUCUGCAACUCGACCUCAUGAAGUCGGAGUCGCUAGUAAUCGCAGAUCAGCAACGCUGCGGUGAAUACGUUCCCGGG